UACGUUUUAUAAAUAAUGGAA
This 21-nucleotide non-coding RNA is filed under the name Caenorhabditis elegans. Lineage: Eukaryota; Metazoa; Nematoda; Chromadorea; Rhabditida; Rhabditidae. The record is from RNAcentral.